RNAcentral lists this ribosomal RNA (251 nucleotides) under uncultured prokaryote. RNAcentral's name for it is "partial 16S rRNA". It matches the Rfam family "Bacterial small subunit ribosomal RNA", at positions 525 to 775 of the family's 1533-position model. The record is from RNAcentral.
ACGUAGGUGGCAAGCGUUACUCGGAAUCACUAGGCGUAAAGCGCGCGCAGGCGGACAUUUAAGUUUGCUGUUUAAUCUCCAGGCUCAACCUGGAACAGUCGGCAAAUACUGGAUGUCUUGAGUAAGGUAGAGGAAAUCGGAAUUCCCGGUGUAGCGGUGAAAUGCGUAGAGAUCGGGAAGAACACCAGUGGCGAAGGCGGAUUUCUGGGCCUUUACUGACGCUGAGGCGCGAAAGCUAGGGGAGCAAACAG